Molecule: RNA transcript, 1718 nt
Organism: Triticum aestivum (bread wheat)
Lineage: Eukaryota; Viridiplantae; Streptophyta; Magnoliopsida; Poales; Poaceae
Gene name: cell division cycle protein 123 homolog
Exons: 3
Source: RefSeq, a predicted model, not a curated record
AGGCCCCCCCUCGUUCGCAGCCCGGCCUUCCCACCACGCGAACCGCGAGCACGACGCCGGCGACGAGGACCGACGCCGAGCGCCGCCGCCGAACCCAACCGACGAGCCGGCGGAGAUGCUGCUGGAGGAGCUGCUCCGCUGCCAGAUCCAGGAGUGGUACCCGGCGUUCCGGCGCCACACGGUCCCCACCGCCAUCAUCCCGCUCCCGGCCGCCUUCCUCCGCUACCUCGCCGGCCGGACCGCCUACCCCGGCCCCGACGGCCCCGACGAGGGCGAGCAGGGGCCGCUCCCCUUCGUGCCCCCGACGCUCACCUCCGGCCGCGCGCCCUUCCCGCCGCUCCAGGGCCACUUCCCGGACCCCGUCUCCCUCCUCGAUCGCGACAACACCGACCCCCUCUUCGGCGGCUCCGGCUCCGACUCCGACGAUGACGAGGGCCUGCCCCCGCCCGCGUUCCCGGAGCUCGAGGCCGCGGUGGACGCCGCCAUCGCCGGCCUCGGCGGCGCCGCGCUCCCCAAGCUCAACUGGAGCGCGCCCAAGGACGCCGUCUUCAUGGCCGCCGACGGCACCGUCCGCUGCACCUGCUUCGCCGAGGUCGCCAUGCUGCUCCGCGCCUCCGACUGCGUCGCCCACGACCUCGUCUCCGCGCGCCGCUCCUGCCACGACUUCCUGCGCGCCAAGCCUGUUCGACGGAAUGCCGCAGAGGGCGGUCUGAGUGAUCCUGGUGAGAAUUGCAGCGAUGGAGGUGCCCGUGGCGGUGGGAGUGGUGCGCCGGAAGAGGAUGCCGAACAAGAAAGCAGUGAUGAUGAUGAGACUUGGGUCGACGAUGGGUUCCAGUACUACCUCGCGCUCCGCAAGUGGUACCCAGGCCUCCGCCCCGAGUCGGAGUUCCGCUGCUUUGUGCGGGGGCGGAAGCUGGUCGGCGUGUCGCAGAGGGACCCGUCUGCCUACUACCCUUCGCUGCCUGGGUGGAGCGCUGAGGUGCAGCCUAAGAUCGAGGAUUUCUUCGAAGAAUUCAUCGAGCCACAGUUCGCUUCAGAGAAUUAUACGUUUGAUGUGUAUGUGAGAGCCGAUGGCCGGGUGAAGCUGAUCGACUUCAAUCCUUGGGGUGGCUAUACCCUGCCGCUGCUGUUCACAUGGGAGGAGCUUGAGGAGGAGCAGAGAGGGGAGGACGAGCUGGAGUUUCGAGUGGUGAUGCAGCAGGGUGCAGUGAGGCCAGGGUUAAUGACAGCAAUUCCGUAUGAUAUGCUGGAUUGGGGGGAUGGCAGUGGGUGGGAUGUGUUUCUGAAGAAGGCUGGCAAUGAGCUCGACAGACAGAUGGCAUCAUUAGGUGUGGAUUCGUAGUCGUGCCCUGCUCUACAACAAGGUGCUUGAGGACUCCAGUAGGUGAACAAGUGAAGUGAUGGCUCUUGGGUGAAAGAAGCGUUACUAGAAAUGCUAUCUUGGAGCUGAGGGUGCAAUGUCUCAGCAAUGCCUGAAAUCCUGAUUCGUAUCAAUGACUUGCAUAAUGCACUGAAUUUCCUGCCCCAUAACUGAAGAAUUCCAGAGCUCGUCCGUAGGAUAUGAUGAGCUGUAUCCUGCAGUACCUGGGGUGCGUGACAAGUGCAUGCUGGGACCUGAACCAGAGGGGUACCUAGAUAAAAGUAACUGCGAAGCAACAUACUUGGAGACGCGUUUUGAUGGCUCCAUGAGGUAAGAGACUCUAGUCUAUACAAAUAAC